RNAcentral lists this non-coding RNA (28 nucleotides) under Homo sapiens (human). Lineage: Eukaryota; Metazoa; Chordata; Mammalia; Primates; Hominidae. The record is from RNAcentral.
UUGUGGGUCGUGAUCAGGAUGGAAGAAC